Molecule: non-coding RNA, 428 nt
Organism: Elaeis guineensis (African oil palm)
Lineage: Eukaryota; Viridiplantae; Streptophyta; Magnoliopsida; Arecales; Arecaceae
Source: RefSeq, a predicted model, not a curated record
UUGCUCCAAUGUCAGGGGUCAUCUACUUUCCUCCCGCUUUGGAAAUGGAGUUUCUUGUUUCUCCCGACUGGAGCUCCGAUCUCAUCCACCGGAGAAGAAUUGCCAUCGUCGCACAGAUGGGAAUCUUUUCGGAUCGAGGAACUCAAAACACUAGUUUUCUUGUUUAGGUAACGAUUAUGCGGCAAUGCCUUUAGGAGUUAAAAGAAGGUUCCAGUAUAUUGCCUCCUGAAAAAAUAUGAGGAACAAGAUGCUAAGGUUGCUGUCGUUAAAAUAUCCCUGAGCAAGGUGAGUGAUGACAUUUGUUUGCAAUCCUUGUUCCUUGUGAAUUUGGCUGUUUUAUGGCCAGCACUAGGAAAACAGCAAUUGUUAAUGUGCUUGCAGAAGCUGCCAAGAGCAGAGGUAGAUAGGAGAUCUGGGUGGUUUUUCUC